This is a non-coding RNA of Maylandia zebra (zebra mbuna), 538 nucleotides long. The record is from RefSeq and is a predicted model, not a curated record. NCBI's taxonomy places the organism in Eukaryota, Metazoa, Chordata, Actinopteri, Cichliformes, Cichlidae.
GGAGGAAUGAUGACAUCAUGAGAUGGAAAACAGUACAGCUCAAAGUCAAAGGGAGAGUUCAGGUCCAGCAUCAAACAGGGGACAUCAGGAACAGAAGCAGCUCCAUUGAUCCGACUCCUCUGAUGGCUGAUCAAUCAGUUUGAUCUGUGUGUUCUUUGAUUAUUGAUCAGUGAUGUCAGAGUGGAGUCAGUGUGAUGUUGUUGUUGUGUGUUUGAGACUUUUAGUGUCCAUGAAGGUCUCUGCUGCCGUAGAUCCUCUGAACUGUGACAGAGGUCUCACUCUGGAGGAAACUCUCAGCACUUUCCAGCAGCUCCUCCAUCAUGGAGGACGUUCCCUCACUGUAACAGGUGGAGGAGAGAGGAGAGGAAGCACAGGUGGAUCCUCUGAGGAAGAGGAGCGUCCUACAAACCACAUGAUCACAUGACCAGAGGACAAGCAUGUGCAGAAACACAUUAAAGUCAGCCUGUAAACACGUUUGUGUAAAUUCUAGUCGUGUUUUUCUGUCACAUUCAAAUAAAAGCAGAGAAAGCAGAACAAA